Molecule: long non-coding RNA, 176 nt
Filed under: Bactrocera tryoni
Lineage: Eukaryota; Metazoa; Arthropoda; Insecta; Diptera; Tephritidae
Description: uncharacterized LOC120770164
Source: RNAcentral
AAAACGAAAAGCGCAGUUUAUUUUGGUUUUUAAAGAGAGUAAACGAAAAAGAUUAACAACGAGAAAAAGAAAUCAUUUGGAGCGGUUGGAUGCGUAUAACAAAGACGCACCAUUCAAUUAGCCGCAUCACCGGUGACUUGGAGGACGAGCAUUACGUCGAGCUUGCUAUUAGUUUA